AUCUCCCUUUAUACUCUUCCACCUGCCGGCGCCAGCUGGCCCGCUGCACGUCGUGGCUCAUCUCGGCGUCUUGGAGCUGCUUCUGAAGGUCGGAGACCUUCUACAACCACUUCUGUUCAUCAUCGACCCGGGCCAAGUGCCGGGAUGAAUUUCCUUCCAGCUGGCCGAUCUUCCUCUUCGCAGCUGACAGUUCCACCUUAAGGGCGCUGAUCCUGGCUUCUUGAGCCCAAAUACGGUCGCUGGUGCUCUUCUUGCACUCCUCGAGUUCCUUUGCAAAGUUCGCCUUCCUCCGGCUGUAAUCCAUGAUCGCCUUCACAUGGAGACUUCGAAAGUGGGCGGCCUCAGCAGCGGCUUCAGAAUGGCCUUCUCUCGAUUUGCAGAGUUCGCCUUCCAUCUUCUUCAACUUCUCCAUCAGGUGAAGGACCUCCUUUUUCAACCGCUGGAUUGUCG
Molecule: long non-coding RNA, 450 nt
Filed under: Elaeis guineensis (African oil palm)
Lineage: Eukaryota; Viridiplantae; Streptophyta; Magnoliopsida; Arecales; Arecaceae
Description: long non-coding RNA (EGUI_LNC061556)
Source: RNAcentral